GAUGAACGCUGGCGGCGUGCUUAACACAUGCGAGUCGAACGGAAAGGCCCAAGCUUUCUUGGGUUCUCGAGUGGCGAACGGGUGAGUAACACGUGGGUGAUCUGCCCUGCACUUCGGGAUAAGCCUGGGAAACUGGGUCUCAUACCGGAUAGGACCACAUUUUGGAUGGUGUGGUGGAGAGUUUUGCGGUGUGGGAUGAGCUCGGGGCCUAUACGCUUGUUGGUGGGGUAAUGGCUUACCAAGGCGUCGACGGGUAGCCGGCCUGAGAGGGUGUACGGCCACAUUGGGACUGAGCGACGGCCCGGAGUCCUACGGGAGGCAGCAGGGGGGAAUGUUGCACGAUGGGCGCAAGCCUGAUGCAGCGACGCCGCGUGGGGGAUGACGGCCUUCGGGUUGGAAGCUCCUUUCGCUAGGGACGAAGCGUUAUGUGACGGUACCUGGAGAAGAAGCACCGGCUAACUACGUG
Molecule: ribosomal RNA, 466 nt
Filed under: uncultured bacterium
Lineage: Bacteria
Description: partial 16S ribosomal RNA
Rfam family: Bacterial small subunit ribosomal RNA
Source: RNAcentral